This 115-nucleotide ribosomal RNA is filed under the name Corchorus capsularis. The record is from RNAcentral. Lineage: Eukaryota; Viridiplantae; Streptophyta; Magnoliopsida; Malvales; Malvaceae.
GCGAUCAAACCAGCACUAAUGCACCGGAUCCCAUCAGAACUCCGCAGUUAAGCAUGCUUGGGCGAGAGUAGUACUAGGAUGGGUGACCUCCUGGGAAGUCCUCGUUUUGCACCCC